RNAcentral lists this ribosomal RNA (435 nucleotides) under uncultured bacterium. RNAcentral's name for it is "partial 16S ribosomal RNA". It matches the Rfam family "Bacterial small subunit ribosomal RNA", at positions 29 to 507 of the family's 1533-position model. The record is from RNAcentral.
AGCGAACGCUGGCGGCAGGCUUAACACAUGCAAGUCGAGCGGGCACUUUCGGGUGUCAGCGGCGGACGGGUGAGUAACGCGUGGGAACGUGCCCUCUGGUUCGGAAUAACUCAGGGAAACUUGAGCUAAUACCGGAUACGCCCUUUUGGGGAAAGGCUUGCUGCCGGAGGAUCGGCCCGCGUCUGAUUAGCUAGUUGGUGAGGUAACGGCUCACCAAGGCGACGAUCAGUAGCUGGUCUGAGAGGAUGAUCAGCCACACUGGGACUGAGACACGGCCCAGACUCCUACGGGGGGCAGCAGUGGGGAAUAUUGGACAAUGGGCGCAAGCCUGAUCCAGCCAUGCCGCGUGAGUGAUGAAGGCCUUAGGGUUGUAAAGCUCUUUUAUCCGGGACGAUAAUGACGGUACCGGAGGAAUAAGCCCCGGCUAACUUCGUG